AUACCUUUCUCGACCUUUUGGCUAAGAACAAGUGUAGUAUCUGUUCUUAUCAGUUUAAUAUCUGAUAAAUGUGAACCUACAGGUUCACGGGGUGAACCUCUAAAGGUUUCCUAUAUGUUUGCCCCUCCGAUAUUAAUUUUUUAUAGGGAAAGGACCUUAAACAGUAGCUUGCUACUUGGGUCCUUUUGUGUCACCCUUGUUUUGCAGUUCCGUUAGGACUUGGCACACCCGCC
RNAcentral lists this small nuclear RNA (233 nucleotides) under Corchorus capsularis. RNAcentral describes it as "snRNA U2". It matches the Rfam family "U2 spliceosomal RNA". Rfam says of the family: U2 is a small nuclear RNA (snRNA) component of the spliceosome (involved in pre-mRNA splicing). Complementary binding between U2 snRNA (in an area lying towards the 5' end but 3' to hairpin I) and the branchpoint sequence (BPS) of the intron results the bulging out of an unpaired adenosine, on the BPS, which initiates a nucleophilic attack at the intronic 5' splice site, thus starting the first of two transesterification reactions that mediate splicing. Lineage: Eukaryota; Viridiplantae; Streptophyta; Magnoliopsida; Malvales; Malvaceae. The record is from Rfam by way of RNAcentral.